RNAcentral lists this small nucleolar RNA (98 nucleotides) under Setaria italica (foxtail millet). RNAcentral describes it as "snoRNA snoZ119". It matches the Rfam family "Small nucleolar RNA Z119". Rfam says of the family: Z119 is a member of the C/D class of snoRNA which contain the C (UGAUGA) and D (CUGA) box motifs. Lineage: Eukaryota; Viridiplantae; Streptophyta; Magnoliopsida; Poales; Poaceae. The record is from Rfam by way of RNAcentral. RNAcentral also lists the same sequence under 1 other name.
UUUUGGAUAUGAUGUUAUCUAUCAGAGGCUGUUUCUGAGGAUGAGCCAUAGCUUCUCCCAGUGCUGCAAAAAAACUGAUUUGCCGUUCUGAUCAAAAG